Chrysemys picta bellii (western painted turtle) is the source of this 2553-nucleotide long non-coding RNA. RefSeq lists it as uncharacterized. NCBI's taxonomy places the organism in Eukaryota, Metazoa, Chordata, Testudines, Emydidae. The record is from RefSeq and is a predicted model, not a curated record.
AAGGCUCAUUGGGAUUUGCCCCUCAAUGAACUGAUGUGUGUGGGGGGGUGCGCGCAAGUUGGAAGUUUUGCCUAGAGCGCAAAAUAUCCUUGCACCGGCCCUGCCUAUUCUCAGAGUCUCAACAACUGAAGAUGAGACAACUUAGUUCAUGAUCGCCUCCUGCACUUUGCUCCUUGUAAGCAGGAUCCUAUGAAUAUUUACUAAGCUUCCCCUGGAAGAUGCUCUGAGUUUGACGACUAAAAUCACAGGGGGAGAGAUGAGGAAAUUGAAGGAUCCUCAGAACUCCAAGACCAAGAGGAUCCACACUCAUCCUCUCCUUGACAAGGGAGAGAAAAUGGCCGUGAUCUAUAAACCAGCUAUGGGAACAGUGAAUGGUGCCAUGGUUAAUUCUGAACAAGUUCCAAGCUAAUGUCCUUUCUCUGGGUCUCCCAGUGUGCCUGUGCUUUCGCCUGGGAGCUCUUGGGACCAGGACUUCCUAUAAGCAUAGAAAGUCACGCUGUCAGCACUUAAUUGGUGCAAAUCCAAGACACUAUGUGUACAGCUGUUAUUUCGUAGAACAUUCUAGUCUUGGAAUAGCAGCUAGUGAGUAGCCUCCCUGGCAGAGAGGGCUAUUUGAGAGUCCACAGAAGAAGCGUUAUGUAGGAUAGGAAGUUACCUCAAGAGUUAUUUCUGCCCAGGAAUAAAGGAAGCCAAAGGAGUCCAUUCUCAGUGGGGUGAGGAUGGAGUCAAAUUCAGAUCUAGCCCCCUCCCCGUUACUGGAAAAGAUCCAGGGGAAACGACUUCAGGAGCUUUUUGCAUCUUAUAAUUUAUUUUGCAGCUUCACACGGACUCAGAACCCCUUGUGCCCUCUCCACUAUGAGAGAGAAAUGGCUGCAUAGUGACAUCUGGAACUGCUCCAAACACACUGCCCUCCUGAUGGACUUGCGGAGCCAAGUAAUUAGCACCCCUAUGUCAUUUGAAAGCCCUAUUUCCUGUCCAAGUGCGUAGCACGCGGCAGCCUGAGCCCCGAGGGGAAGACAGGCUCUUGGGGAGAGGUUUGAUUGGCUGUGUCGUGCAGCCACGGAUAGAAUGCAUAAAGGUGGGUGUGCGGCAGUAGAAGCCACCGCCCCGAGUCUUGUGUUCUCAUGCCAAAGUCUGCAGUGCGGAAAAAUAGGCCGAUUCCUCUUGCAAUCUUCCUACACAGCUGUUUACUGCCUGCGGAUUACUGCAGUCACAUGAGCUGCUUUACAGCAAAGCCAAGCUGUCUUCAUGAGCUGAGAAGGUCACUGGGAAGACACCAGGCUCAAGAGAGAAACAUACUGCCCUCCACCGGGCAGCUACAUUAACAUUCCCCUCCUGGUCACAGGGCAAGAGAAAAAUGGCUUCACAUUCCAGCCUGUCGUCAUGCCCCACCCAAUGACAGCAGAGAGCAGGGGAAGUUUAUGGGAGGAACCGUCUCACUUCGUAAGAUGCCUUAUACAGUUACAACAGCUUGCUGGGAUUUGAGCCAGCUUCCCAUUUGGAUCAAAUUGCAUCCCUCUCCCACUGACAUCCAUUAAGAAAGAGCUCAAAGCUGCCCUCAGGUUAGACUAUUUUUCUGCUACCAAAAAAAACCCCUGUAACAUUUUCUAAUGGACUCUUCACUCUUUUCCCAAAAACAGAGGGUGCCCAUACUUUGCCCAGUUAAUAGCCAUGUGGGCAACCUGCCAGGAUUCCGAGAGCCAGGCCCUAUUUGCGUCAAAAAGUUCAGAGUGCAGCCAGCCUCAUCAGUAACAUAGAGGCGCAGAGGUGGUAGAGCCCCUCCUGAUCGGAACCGAUUGAGGGUAACCACAGGCUGAACCACAGUCAUACCUCGGCAUCACUUCAGUCAACCCUGCAGGGUAGAAAAACGACAAUGCAGCUAAGGGCAUACAAGGCCUGGAAGAAGGCCCGCAACACGUGGUCUGAGGGAAAAUCUGCUUCUCCCAGGAAUGAGGUCAGCCACCAUGGAGCCUGAAACUGCAGCAGGUGCUACGUCACUCCCCUCUACACAGGACCCAGACACCAGAGGAUCAGCAGGGAUCAGAGACCACAAGGACCAAAAGGUCCCCCUUCCUCCAAGUCUCCCUCUUGUGGGCUGGCACUCCCUUAGAUACCUCACCAGCUGUCUGUUCAUGGAGGCAGCUUGGCUGGGCUCCUGAACAAGGGAGGGGGCUCCUGCAGCACUUGUUCAAGGCUGCCUGAUGAGUGUCGACAAAGAGGAUGGUGAGCAAGGAACUUCGGCUAGUGAGAGCGGUGGAGAAGAUUGAGUGAAGGGGCACUUUUUUGCAUGGUGGAUGCUAUUAGAAUGGAAGCUCUUUGGGGGCAGGGACUGGGUCUUCCUACAUGUUUGGGGAGCCCUGAGCACAUUUUGGGCAUUGAAACAAGCAAAAAAUAUAUGUUUGUAAUCCUAUUUGGUAUCAGAGUCAGGAACAGUGCCCCCUCUUUCCUAAAAGUGCGUAGAGCAGAGAGAGCCUGGCUGGAAUUUAAGGGGCAGCUUUGGGGCUGAUCUUGUUCUGCUGCCACGGUUAGACAAAUCCUGCUUUGAACUUGUAA